This 661-nucleotide ribosomal RNA is filed under the name Thyreophagus entomophagus. RNAcentral's name for it is "12S ribosomal RNA". The record is from RNAcentral. Lineage: Eukaryota; Metazoa; Arthropoda; Arachnida; Sarcoptiformes; Acaridae.
GUUUUUGUUAAAAGUUUUAGAUUUUUUUUAAAAAUUUAUUUUAUGGGGUUGAGUUUCGUUUCCAAUGGUUAUUCUUUUAGAAAAAUUGUUUUAGAGUUUUAGGAUAAAGUUUGUGCCAGCAAUCGCGGUCAUACUCUUAUUAAUUAAACUUUUUUUAAUUCUUUUAUUUAUAUUGUUUUUUUAGUUAUUGUGUGAAAUUUUAUCUUUUUUUUUUAAUUAGUGGUUUUGUAAGUUUUACUAAAAACCAGGAUUAGAGACCCUGUUAUUUUAGGACUAUUUUUAAAGUAGUAUGGUGUAUGGCUUAAACUUAAUUUUUCUGGCGGUUUGCUACUCUUAUAGAGGAACUUGUAGUUUUUAAUGGACACCCCUCUUUAGUUUUUUCCUUUUUUAUUUUUAUGUACGGCUGUCGUGUUUUAAUUUUUGUCUUAUUACUUUUAUUUUUUUAAUCUAUUUCAGGUCAAUGUGUAGAACAUAUAGUGGAUUUUUAUGAGUUACUUUUUUGUUGUUAGGAAAACUAUUAAAAAUUGGAUUUAUUAGUAAGUUAAUAAUUUAAAAUUUUAACUGAUGGGGAAUUUUGGCAAAAGUACAUAUCGCCCGUCGCUCUUUUGAUAGAUAAGUCGUAACAAAGUGGGGAUUCUGGAAGGAGUUUCUUGUUUAAGAU